CGCCGCGUGAGUGAUGAAGGGUUUCGGCUCGUAAAACUCUGUUAUUAGGGAAGAACAAACGUGUAAGUAACUGUGCACGUCUUGACGGUACCUAAUCAGAAAGCCACGGCUAACUACGUGCCAGCAGCCGCGGUAAUACGUAGGUGGCAAGCGUUAUCCGGAAUUAUUGGGCGUAAAGCGCGCGUAGGCGGUUUCUUAAGUCUGAUGUGAAAGCCCACGGCUCAACCGUGGAGGGUCAUUGGAAACUGGGAAACUUGAGUGCAGAAGAGGAAAGUGGAAUUCCAUGUGUAGCGGUGAAAUGCGCAGAGAUAUGGAGGAACACCAGUGGCGAAGGCGACUUUCUGGUCUGUAACUGACGCUGAUGUGCGAAAGCGUGGGGAUCAAACAGGAUUAGAUACCCUGGUAGUCCACGCCGUAAACGAUGAGUGCUAAGUGUUAGGGGGUUUCCGCCCCUUAGUGCUGCAGCUAACGCAUUAAGCACUCCGCCUGGGGAGUACGACCGCAAGGUUGAAACUCAAAGGAAUUGACGGGGACCCGCACAAGCGGUGGAGCAUGUGGU
RNAcentral lists this ribosomal RNA (559 nucleotides) under Staphylococcus sp. CJJK5. Its description in RNAcentral is "bacterial SSU rRNA". It matches the Rfam family "Bacterial small subunit ribosomal RNA", at positions 395 to 945 of the family's 1533-position model. Lineage: Bacteria; Bacillati; Bacillota; Bacilli; Caryophanales; Staphylococcaceae. The record is from RNAcentral.